RNAcentral lists this ribosomal RNA (253 nucleotides) under uncultured bacterium. RNAcentral's name for it is "partial 16S ribosomal RNA". It matches the Rfam family "Bacterial small subunit ribosomal RNA", at positions 524 to 776 of the family's 1533-position model. The record is from RNAcentral.
UACGUAGGGUGCAAGCGUUGUCCGGAAUUAUUGGGCGUAAAGAGCUCGUAGGCGGCUCAUCAAGUCUGCUGUCAAAGGCAGGGGCUUAACCCCUGAAAGGCAGUGGAAACUGGGGAGCUAGAGUGCAGUAGGGGUAGAGGGAAUUCCCGGUGUAGCGGUGAAAUGCGUAGAGAUCGGGAAGAACAUCGGUGGCGAAAGCGCUCUGCUGGACUGCAACUGACACUAAAGGACGAAAGCUAGGGGAGCGAAUGGG